This 85-nucleotide transfer RNA is filed under the name compost metagenome. RNAcentral describes it as "tRNA-Leu". It matches the Rfam family "tRNA". Rfam says of the family: Transfer RNA (tRNA) molecules are approximately 80 nucleotides in length. Their secondary structure includes four short double-helical elements and three loops (D, anti-codon, and T loops). The record is from RNAcentral.
CGGCUUGUGGCGGAAUUGGCAGACGCACCGGAUUUAGGUUCCGGCGCCUUAUGGCGUGUGAGUUCGAGUCUCACCGGGCCGACCA